CGUGGGUAACCUGCCCAAGAGAUCGGGAUAACACCUGGAAACAGAUGCUAAUACCGGAUAACAACAGAUGAUGCCUAUCAACUGUUUAAAAGAUGGUUCUGCUAUCACUCUUGGAUGGACCUGCGGUGCAUUAGCUAGUUGGUAGGGUAACGGCCUACCAAGGCGAUGAUGCAUAGCCGAGUUGAGAGACUGAUCGGCCACAUUGGGACUAAGACACGGCCCAAACUCCUACGGGAGGCAGCAGUG
Molecule: ribosomal RNA, 246 nt
Filed under: uncultured Lactobacillus sp.
Lineage: Bacteria; Bacillati; Bacillota; Bacilli; Lactobacillales; Lactobacillaceae
Description: partial 16S ribosomal RNA
Rfam family: Bacterial small subunit ribosomal RNA
Source: RNAcentral